RNAcentral lists this microRNA (19 nucleotides) under Vriesea carinata. RNAcentral describes it as "vca-miR10202b-3p". Lineage: Eukaryota; Viridiplantae; Streptophyta; Magnoliopsida; Poales; Bromeliaceae. The record is from miRBase by way of RNAcentral.
GGUUUGGGCCCAACGAAUU